GUCCACGCCGUAAACGAUGAAUGCUAGCCGUCGGGGAGCUUGCUCUCCGGUGGCGCAGCUAACGCAAUAAGCAUUCCGCCUGGGGAGUACGGUCGCAAGAUUAAAACUCAAAGGAAUUGACGGGGGCCCGCACAAGCGGUGGAGCAUGUGGUUCAAUUCGAAGCAACGCGAAGAACCUUACCAGCCCUUGACAUCCCGGUCGCGGAGUCCAGAGACGGAUUCUUUCAGUUCGGCUGGACCGGUGACAGGUGCUGCAUGGCUGUCGU
Molecule: ribosomal RNA, 266 nt
Filed under: uncultured bacterium
Lineage: Bacteria
Description: partial 16S ribosomal RNA
Rfam family: Bacterial small subunit ribosomal RNA
Source: RNAcentral